GUCAAUCGUAUAUUAUAAGUCUACUUUCAGUCAUGGGGCCGAGGCCUUCCCGAUUAUCCAGUAAGUUGCCUCUGGUUCUCCGACCUGUCCGACUCGCGCAGCAAGAAGGCCCUGCCCCCUCGCGCCGAUAUUGCGCUUACCUCGCGGUGCAGUGGGUGACCUACCUGCGUAAGGAUACAAGGGGCCUCGGUGCAACAACCUCUUGCCGACCGCCAGCGCCUGCGGUCCAAGUCAGGCGCUUUGCAGUACACCCAAAGGCUGGACAGUGCCGUUGGAGCGGCCAAGGGAGCGGCCUGGUGGCUGACUCGAGCAGACAAAGCGUCGCGGCGCCAUUCGUACAUGCUAGCGUCGCGGCGCCUGUUGAUCUAAGGAGCAAGAGGCUAAUUCCCGCUGGCCGCCUGUCCGCGUCGGAGUCGGUUGCGCUAUCGCCUCGACAUACUCGUCGCCCCAGCGGGCGUUCCAUCGAAGGUUCAUCCCUGAGCUCGGCCACGGUGCUGUUGUCGUGUCAUUCUGCCGGCUUUGAAUGUCUUCGCCAUCGGUCACACCACUCCGGCGAAAUGCCAUGCCAG
RNAcentral lists this long non-coding RNA (569 nucleotides) under Chlamydomonas reinhardtii. Its description in RNAcentral is "long non-coding RNA (CREI_LNC000102)". The record is from RNAcentral. Lineage: Eukaryota; Viridiplantae; Chlorophyta; Chlorophyceae; Chlamydomonadales; Chlamydomonadaceae.